AUUGAACGCUGGCGGCAGGCCUAACACAUGCAAGUCGAGCGGUAGCACAGAGAGCUUGCUCUCGGGUGACGAGCGGCGGACGGGUGAGUAAUGUCUGGGAAACUGCCUGAUGGAGGGGGAUAACUACUGGAAACGGUAGCUAAUACCGCAUAAUGUCGCAAGACCAAAGUGGGGGACCUUCGGGCCUCAUGCCAUCAGAUGUGCCCAGAUGGGAUUAGCUAGUAGGUGGGGUAACGGCUCACCUAGGCGACGAUCCCUAGCUGGUCUGAGAGGAUGACCAGCCAGACUGGAACUGAGACACGGUCCAGACUCCGACGGGAGACAGCAGUGGAGAAUAUUGCACAAUGGGCGCAAGCCUGAUGCAGCCAUGCCGCGUGUGUGAAGAAGGCCUUCGGGUUGUAAAGCACUUUCAGCGGGGAGGAAGGCGUUAAGGUUAAUAACCUUGGCGAUUGACGUUACCCGCAGAAGAAGCACCGGCUAACUCCGUGCCAGCCGCCGCCGUAA
RNAcentral lists this ribosomal RNA (504 nucleotides) under uncultured bacterium. RNAcentral describes it as "partial 16S ribosomal RNA". It matches the Rfam family "Bacterial small subunit ribosomal RNA", at positions 30 to 523 of the family's 1533-position model. The record is from RNAcentral.